Molecule: ribosomal RNA, 274 nt
Filed under: uncultured bacterium
Lineage: Bacteria
Description: partial 16S ribosomal RNA
Rfam family: Bacterial small subunit ribosomal RNA
Source: RNAcentral
CUACGGAGGGUGCAAGCGUUAUUCGGAAUCACUGGGCGUAAAGGACGCGUAGGCGGGUUUGUAAGUCAGGUGUGAAAUCCUACAGCUUAACUGUAGAACUGCACUUGAAACUACAGACCUAGAGUAUGGGAGGGGCAGAUGGAAUUAGUGGUGUAGGGGUAAAAUCCGUAGAUAUCACUAGGAAUACCGAAAGCGAAGGCGAUCUGCUGGAACAUAACUGACGCUAAGGCGUGAAAGCGUGGGGAGCAAACAGGAUUAGAAACCCUAGUAGUCC